Molecule: ribosomal RNA, 465 nt
Filed under: Vreelandella stevensii
Lineage: Bacteria; Pseudomonadati; Pseudomonadota; Gammaproteobacteria; Oceanospirillales; Halomonadaceae
Description: partial 16S ribosomal RNA
Rfam family: Bacterial small subunit ribosomal RNA
Source: RNAcentral
CCUACGGGUGGCUGCAGUGGGGAAUAUUGGACAAUGGGCGAAAGCCUGAUCCAGCCAUGCCGCGUGUGUGAAGAAGGCCUUCGGGUUGUAAAGCACUUUCAGUGGGGAAGAAAGCCUUGGGGCUAAUACCCUCGAGGAAGGACAUCACCCACAGCAGAAGCACCGGCUAACUCCGUGCCAGCAGCCGCGGUAAUACGGAGGGUGCGAGCGUUAAUCGGAAUUACUGGGCGUAAAGCGCGCGUAGGCGGUCUGAUAAGCCGGUUGUGAAAGCCCCGGGCUCAACCUGGGAACGGCAUCCGGAACUGUCAGGCUAGAGUGCAGGAGAGGAAGGUAGAAUUCCCGGUGUAGCGGUGAAAUGCGUAGAGAUCGGGAGGAAUACCAGUGGCGAAGGCGGCCUUCUGGACUGACACUGACGCUGAGGUGCGAAAGCGUGGGUAGCAAACAGGAUUAGAUACCCUAGUAGUC